GGGGCGGUAGUUCAGCUGGUUAGAACGCCGGCCUGUCACGUCGGAGGUCACGGGUUCGAUCCCCGUCCGCCCCGCCA
Molecule: transfer RNA, 77 nt
Filed under: Nitrospirae bacterium RBG_19FT_COMBO_55_12
Lineage: Bacteria; Pseudomonadati; Nitrospirota
Also listed under: 3 other names
Description: tRNA-Asp
Rfam family: tRNA
About the family: Transfer RNA (tRNA) molecules are approximately 80 nucleotides in length. Their secondary structure includes four short double-helical elements and three loops (D, anti-codon, and T loops).
Source: RNAcentral